GAUCAAAUCAAGCGCAAUAAGGGCGUUUGGUGGAUGCCUUGGCAGUAAGAGGCGAUGAAGGACGUGAUACUCUGCGAUAAGUCAUGGGGAGCUGAGAAUAAGCUUUGAUCCAUGAAUUUCCGAAUGGGGCAACCCACCUGAUACUCGGUUAUUGUUAGCCUUAGGGUUAUCAAUAAUCGGGUGAAACAGGUAUUUGAGACCUGAACACAUAGGGUUUCAAAGGCAAACCCGGGGAACUGAAACAUCUAAGUACCCGGAGGAAAGGACAUCAAUAGAGACUCCCCUAGUAGCGGCGAGCGAACGGGGACCAGCCGAGCCUUGAGUGUGACCAGAACAAUCUGGAAAGAUUGACCAUAGUGGGUGACAGUCCCGUAUGGGAAGCACGAUAGGACGUAUCAAGUAGGGCGGGACACGUGAAAUCCUGUCUGAAGAUCGGAGGACCACCUCCGAAGGCUAAGUACUCCUUACUGACCGAUAGCGAACCAGUACCGUGAGGGAAAGGUGAAAAGCACCCCGACGAGGGGAGUGAAACAGUACCUGAAACCGAACGCCUACAAGCAGUCGGAGCCUCCUUGAGAGGUGACGGCGUACCUUUUGUAUAAUGGGUCAUCGACUUGGUCUCACGUGCAAGCUUAAGCCGAUAGGUGUAGGCGCAGCGAAAGCGAGUCUUAAUAGGGCGUCGAGUUCGUGGGAUCAGACCCGAAACCGAGUGAUCUAGCCAUGACCAGGAUGAAGGUUGGGUAACACCAACUGGAGGUCCGAACCCACACCUGUUGAAAAAGGUCGGGAUGAGUUGUGGCUAGGGGUGAAAGGCCAAUCAAACUCGGAGAUAGCUGGUUCUCCGCGAAAUCUAUUUAGGUAGAGCGUCAUCCGAAUACCCGGGGGGUAGAGCACUGGAUGGGUAAUGGGGCCCCACAGGCUUACUGAUCCUAACCAAACUCCGAAUACCCGGGAGUACUAGAUGGCAGACACACGGCGGGUGCUAACGCCCGUCGUGAAGAGGGAAACAACCCUGACCUCCAGCUAAGGCCCCUAAUUCAUGGCUAAGUGGGAAAGCAGGUGGGACGACCAAAACAACCAGGAGGUUGGCUUAGAAGCAGCCAUCCUUUAAAGAUAGCGUAACAGCUCACUGGUCUAAAUAAGUUGUCCUGCGGCGAAGAUGUAACGGGGCUCAAGCCAUGAGCCGAAGCUGAGGAUGCACAUAGUGCAUGGUAGCGGAGCGUAGUGUGACAUAAUCCCAUGUCUCCUUCACGGGUUCGCCCGGACUGGAGACGCGGGAUUUUCUGUGAAGCCGGGGCGUGAGCCAUCCGGUGGAGAGAUCACUAGCGAGAAUGAUGACGUGAGUAGCGACAAACAGGGUGAGAGACCCUGUCGCCGAAAGUCCAAGGGUUCCUGCUUAAAGCUAAUCUGAGCAGGGUAAGCCGACCCCUAAGGCGAGGCCGAAAGGCGUAGUCGAUGGGAACCAGGUUAAUAUUCCUGGGCCAUGUGGUGGUGACGGAUCGCAGGUGUAGUUCGACCUUAUCGGAUUGGUCGGGCUGCUGAGCGGUUCCUGGAAAUAGCCCCACUAUCAGAUCGUACCCUAAACCGACACAGGUGGACUGGUAGAGAAUACCAAGGCGCUUGAGAGAAUGAUGUUGAAGGAACUCGGCAAAAUACCUCCGUAAGUUCGCGAGAAGGAGGCCCCGUUGGCAGGCAACUGUUGGCGGGGGGCACAAACUAGGGGGUGGCGACUGUUUACUAAAAACACAGGGCUCUGCGAAGUCGCAAGACGACGUAUAGGGUCUGACGCCUGCCCGGUGCCGGAAGGUUAAAUGGAGGGGUGCAAGCUCUGAAAUGAAGCCCCGGUAAACGGCGGCCGUAACUAUAACGGUCCUAAGGUAGCGAAAUUCCUUGUCGGGUAAGUUCCGACCUGCACGAAUGGCGUAACGACUUCCCCGCUGUCUCCAACAUCAACUCAGCGAAAUCGAAUUGCCUGUCAAGAUGCAGGCUUCCCGCGGUUAGACGGAAAGACCCCGUGCACCUUUACUACAACUUCGCACUGGCAUCAGGACUGCAAUGUGCAGGAUAGGUGGUAGGCUUUGAAGCAGGAACGCCAGUUUCUGUGGAGCCUCCCUUGAGAUACCACCCUUUGCAUUCUUGAUGUCUAACCGCGGCCCGUUAUCCGGGUCCGGGACCCUGCGUGGUGGGUAGUUUGACUGGGGCGGUCGCCUCCUAAAGAGUAACGGAGGCGCGCGAAGGUUGGCUCAGAGCGGUCGGAAAUCGCUCGUUGAGUGCAAUGGCAGAAGCCAGCCUGACUGCGAGACUGACAAGUCGAGCAGAGUCGAAAGACGGCCAUAGUGAUCCGGUGGUCCCAAGUGGGAGGGCCAUCGCUCAACGGAUAAAAGGUACGCCGGGGAUAACAGGCUGAUGAUGCCCAAGAGUCCAUAUCGACGGCAUCGUUUGGCACCUCGAUGUCGGCUCAUCUCAUCCUGGGGCUGGAGCAGGUCCCAAGGGUAUGGCUGUUCGCCAUUUAAAGAGGUACGUGAGCUGGGUUUAGAACGUCGUGAGACAGUUCGGUCCCUAUCUGCCGUGGGUGUAGGAUACUUGAGAGGAGUUGCCCCUAGUACGAGAGGACCGGGGUGAACGUUCCACUGGUGGACCAGUUGUCGUGCCAACGGCAGUGCUGGGUAGCUAUGAACGGAAAGGAUAACCGCUGAAGGCAUCUAAGCGGGAAGCCCCCCUCAAAACAAGGUAUCCCUGAGAGCCGUAGAAGACCACUACGUCGAUAGGCCGGAGAUGUAAGCGCAGUAAUGCGUUCAGUUGACCGGUACUAAUUGCUCGAUAGGCUUGAUUUGAUCCAG
RNAcentral lists this ribosomal RNA (2840 nucleotides) under Rhodobacterales bacterium LSUCC0031. RNAcentral's name for it is "23S ribosomal RNA". It matches the Rfam family "Bacterial large subunit ribosomal RNA". The record is from RNAcentral. Lineage: Bacteria; Pseudomonadati; Pseudomonadota; Alphaproteobacteria; Rhodobacterales.